This 547-nucleotide ribosomal RNA is filed under the name Escherichia coli. RNAcentral describes it as "partial 23S ribosomal RNA". It matches the Rfam family "Bacterial large subunit ribosomal RNA", at positions 125 to 715 of the family's 2925-position model. The record is from RNAcentral. Lineage: Bacteria; Pseudomonadati; Pseudomonadota; Gammaproteobacteria; Enterobacterales; Enterobacteriaceae.
AACCCAGUGUGAUUCGUCACACUAUCAUUAACUGAAUCCAUAGGUUAAUGAGGCGAACCGGGGGAACUGAAACAUCUAAGUACCCCGAGGAAAAGAAAUCAACCGAGAUUCCCCCAGUAGCGGCGAGCGAACGGGGAGCAGCCCAGAGCCUGAAUCAGUGUGUGUGUUAGUGGAAGCGUCUGGAAAGGCGUGCGAUACAGGGUGACAGCCCCGUACACAAAAAUGCACAUGCUGUGAGCUCGAUGAGUAGGGCGGGACACGUGGUAUCCUGUCUGAAUAUGGGGGGACCAUCCUCCAAGGCUAAAUACUCCUGACUGACCGAUAGUGAACCAGUACCGUGAGGGAAAGGCGAAAAGAACCCCGGCGAGGGGAGUGAAAAAGAACCUGAAACCGUGUACGUACAAGCAGUGGGAGCACGCUUAGGCGUGUGACUGCGUACCUUUUGUAUAAUGGGUCAGCGACUUAUAUUCUGUAGCAAGGUUAACCGAAUAGGGGAGCCGAAGGGAAACCGAGUCUUAACUGGGCGUUAAGUUGCAGGGUAUAGACC